GGUUGAUCCUGCCAGUAGUCAUAUGCUUGUCCCAAAGAUUAAGCCAUGCAUGUCCAAGUAUAUACCUUUAUACGGUGAAACUGCGAAUGGCUCAUUAUAUCAGUUAUAAUUUACUUGAUGGUCAAUUACUACUUGGAUAACCGUGGUAAUUCUAGAGCUAAUACAUGCAAAGGGCCCGACUUCUGGAAGGGCCGUAUUUAUUAGAUAAAAACCAACGCCUUCGGGCUAACGGUGAGUCAUGAUAACUGCGCGGAUCGCAUGGCCUAGUGCCGGCGACGCUUCAUUCAAAUUU
This 292-nucleotide ribosomal RNA is filed under the name uncultured eukaryote. RNAcentral's name for it is "partial 18S ribosomal RNA". It matches the Rfam family "Eukaryotic small subunit ribosomal RNA", at positions 6 to 306 of the family's 1831-position model. The record is from RNAcentral.